Molecule: ribosomal RNA, 883 nt
Filed under: fungal endophyte
Lineage: Eukaryota; Fungi
Description: eukaryotic LSU rRNA
Rfam family: Eukaryotic large subunit ribosomal RNA (bases 389-883)
Source: RNAcentral
GCGGGUCCGCCCGCCGACUGGACAAUUUAAACCCUUUGCAGUUGCAAUCAGCGUCUGAAAAACAUAAUAGUUACAACUUUCAACAACGGAUCUCUUGGUUCUGGCAUCGAUGAAGAACGCAGCGAAAUGCGAUAAGUAGUGUGAAUUGCAGAAUUCAGUGAAUCAUCGAAUCUUUGAACGCACAUUGCGCCCCUUGGUAUUCCAUGGGGCAUGCCUGUUCGAGCGUCAUUUGUACCUUCAAGCUUUGCUUGGUGUUGGGUGUUUGUCUCGCCUCUGCGUGCAGACUCGCCUUAAAACAAUUGGCAGCCGGCGUAUUGAUUUCGGAGCGCAGUACAUCUCGCGCUUUGCACUCAUAACGACGACGUCCAAAAGUACAUUUUUACACUCUUGACCUCGGAUCAGGUAGGGAUACCCGCUGAACUUAAGCAUAUCAAUAAGCGGAGGAAAAGAAACCAACAGGGAUUGCCCUAGUAACGGCGAGUGAAGCGGCAACAGCUCAAAUUUGAAAUCUGGCGUCUUUGGCGUCCGAGUUGUAAUUUGCAGAGGGCGCUUUGGCAUUGGCAGCGGUCCAAGUUCCUUGGAACAGGACGUCACAGAGGGUGAGAAUCCCGUACGUGGUCGCUAGCCUUUACCGUGUAAAGCCCCUUCGACGAGUCGAGUUGUUUGGGAAUGCAGCUCUNAAUGGGAGGUAAAUUUCUUCUAAAGCUAAAUACUGGCCAGAGACCGAUAGCGCACAAGUAGAGUGAUCGAAAGAUGAAAAGCACUUUGGAAAGAGAGUUAAAAAGCACGUGAAAUUGUUGAAAGGGAAGCGCUUGCAGCCAGACUUGCCUGUAGUUGCUCAUCCGGGUUUCUACCCGGUGCACUCUUCUAUAGGCAGGCCAGC